Myotis lucifugus (little brown bat) is the source of this 74-nucleotide non-coding RNA. The record is from Rfam. Lineage: Eukaryota; Metazoa; Chordata; Mammalia; Chiroptera; Vespertilionidae.
GCCCGGGUGGCUCAGUUGAUUGGAGCGUCCUUGAGUCCACAAAAAGGUCAAGGGUUCAAUUCCUUGUCAGGGCA